AUUCUUCUCAUGGUAUGAAAACAGAGGAUUCCGCUGGCAUUUGCAAAGCUAUACUGCACACAGCAGACAGACACAGUAACUCAUAGUUAGACUGACACCAGCAAGGCCAAGCAAAGGCCAGGCAUUGUUAGUCCGCUUGUUUAAGUCAAUGAACUGAUUCUGAGCGAAAAGCAGACGAGAAGGUUCCUCAUCAGGCAUUGGUGAGUGACGUAACUCACGCUAACUUGUGUUAACUCACCGGCGCCUGCAUGUACUACAUGGGGAGAGACGCAGGCCCGGUGCACAGCAUUGACACGGGAAUGCAUUGCACGCAGUCAAGAGCUAAUUUAUACAGCGCAGCAAGAUAAUUGUUUUAGCUACAUUUGCAUGCAUUUAUUUAGUUUUGGUUCAAAGGGACAUAAGGCCUGGGGGGUUAGAAGUAAACAGACAUUAUACAGUGCCAGUCAAAAGUUUGGACACACAUACCCAUAGAAAGGUUCAUUUGUACUAUUAGUACUUACUACUUUUUAGAAUAAUUAAAGAGACAUCAAAAUGAUUAAAUAACAUAAAUGGAAUGAUGUACUUACCAUAAAAGUAUUACACAAAAAAAAUAGUUUGUUUGGGGGGCAGGUCUGUGGGUUGGGACUCCAGAAGGUUGCUGGUUCAAACCCCUGGGUCAGCAGAGUGAUCCCACCAUUGGGCUCUUGAGCCAGGCCCUUAACCCCAAUUGGGAUGGUGUUCCAGCCGUCCUGCAGGAGGCCCCACAUAUAUGCUGAGCCCUCAUUGGUUGCUUUUCCUUCACUCUCUGGUCAAAGGUGGCCAGAUCAUGUGAUUGCGACACUGUCGCUCUCCUUUGUAGGCUGCUUGGCGUGCCCAGGUAGCGUAAGAAAAAAAAUUGUCUUCCAUUAUCCUGGAGUUUAUCCAUGGGACACAAGGCAGGGGACACCCUGGAUGGAUUGCUAGUCCUGCUCAAAACUGGCAAGUCAUAGACUGCAGCUGAGCUCAUCACCUCCUCUUCUUUGAGUGGGGGAAGAAACUCAUGCAGACAGGGGAAGAGCAUGCAGGCUCCACAGACAGAGAGCCAAGGGGCAGGAAUUGGACCCAGACCCAGCACUUCCAGUGAGAAAUUCCACAAAAUGAGCUCCGCUAUGAACAUUAGACAGUAUAAGAGGUUUUGCUGGGUACAGGAUCUGGGAUAACAUAGUGGGAGGCUGAAGAGUGUGGGGCUUCAGCUGUUCCGCUGACUGACGUGACAGUAAGCCAUUCUUAGCACUUAAGAAGGGAUUGAGAGCGUGUUCCGGAGCCAGACUACUGUACGUCCCGAAGGACGGCUGGACACGGACUGCCGACUGCAGCGAGGAGAACUGGAGCCCCUGGGGGGGGCGGGGCGGGGUUGCUGUGAAAUUCGUGUUUGUUUCAGUUUUAAUUUGUGUUUAUUUUUAGCUGAACUCAGGUCGUUCUCUAAUCCAAAAAAAAAGCAGAGCCUAGAUGCGGAAGCCAGAGCUGGAAGAUGAAAUCGCCCAGAAAGAUGGGGGAUACAUUCUAUACUUACACCCCAUAAGUUCAUUGUCAACAAGAUUCUGAAUAGCAUGUUUGUAAAAUAGGAGGGUGCCCUGAAGGCCUAAUCUGGAUUGUUUUACUUAUUGUCCUGAAUUAUUCAGUUCUGUAAUGCAGUAAAUAUUCUCAAUGUCACUGUCCACCCAAAAAAGGGGGAUUUAAAAUGUCAAUAUAAUCUUAAUAAUCACUAAUAAACAUGAUAUUCUGUUUCUCCAGAAGCAGUAGUUUGCAGUCUGUUUUUGGCUUGGCUGAAAUUGAGUGAUACUUCUGUUCCUCCAGCUAAAAGUCCCCUCGAACCAAGGGUCUAGGGUUACAGUCACGGUUUGUUGAAGCGUAGUUAAUAUAUUUGCAAUAACAAAGUUUAGCGGACCGUUACAUAAACAAUAUAAUUUAUAAUGUAGACAUGAGCAUCUGUUCUGAGAAUAAUAUUAGAUGGAGAUCAAGCCUACGGGUGCGUUUGCCUGGCUGUGUGUGUAGGCUGGAAGCUUGGCUGAAGGAAAAAUGCGUAAAGACAGAAAAUGAGCGAAGCCGGUCUCCUUUCAGGUUAGGGCGGCCUCUGGCACGAAGUGAAGAGAGGUUAGGAAACAAUCGUAGAAAGAGGGAAGCUGAGAGAGCACUUUAAUCCACAGAGGGCGUGAUUCUGCAUGCCUGUCAGGGGUGUGAUAAGCACAGGUAGACAGGAGAGGGGUUGCAAGCCAGCGGGUUUCGCUGGUGCUCCGGCGUGGGGGACGGUGCAGUGAAUCUCCACACAGCCUUCUCUCAUUGUAAAUACCCUCCGGUGAUGGACUCCCCCGGCAUGGUGAAGCCAAAUAUUUGUCAUAGUUAUCAGGGUGUCCCAUAGUGUGUCAGUAGAGAAGCCAGAUCUGACUGUCACUAAAUGGAAAUUUACCAGAGAGAUACCAAAGUAAUGGUCUGAAAGUGAGAGUUACGCAUGGUUCGCCAGUUCAGAGCCCGGUGGAAAAACUAAAUAAGAAUAGUAGCAAACAUGGGCAGCGACUCCAUCGAGUGGGAUUGUGGGAAACCAAACGAUUUUGUUGUCAGGUGGUGUCCUGUUCCAUUCACACAGUAUCUAUCAGGUCCCGUGAAUCUCGGAAGAUCAGAGAGGAAAGAGAGAGGGCAGGUUUGAGAGGGAGAGGCUCACCAAGAACAGAAGGAACUUGAAAAUGGUGUCUGACAUUUUUUUUUUUAUAUUUCCAAGUCCAAGUACUGGAUGGAGUUGAAGGAUGGGUGGAUUGAUGGAUGGAUUUUUAAUACUCUGCAGCUGCAAUGCUGCAUGUGGAUGAAUGUCCCUGAUUCCACAUCUUUGCGAGCUGGAGCACGCGCUCUGCAUUUCACGGUACGGGAGAGCGGGAUCCACAUCAGUGAACAAAAAGCACCUUCUUUUGCCUUGCGGGAGUUUUUGUGGGACGAAGAAAUGGAUGCCUAAUUGUCCGGUUAGCUGGGGGAAGGAGGGCGAGGCGUCUGCUUUUGGGGCUGCUGCGGAGGUGCCCCCCUGUCCACACCUUCACCUAAAUGCUCGGACAGGCAGGAAAUCAUCAUCUGGGGCCUCAUGGCUGCUCAACCGCACCCGGAGCCCCAGGCCGCCGCCCACGGCGAGUUGUCAACGUCGGCGUGGUAACCAAAGUGUCAGCGUGGCAAAUGGCGUCUCGGGGUCUCAGGGGUUUCCACGCCGUGGAUGAUCGAUUGCCGGCACCAGCAGGUCCGCCUGGUCUCACCCAGGCAGGACUUAAAGAAAAAGGCAAAAUAUUCAUCCCUCUGUAACAAACAAAGCUGGUCCACUCAGCUCAGCUCAUUUGCUUUUUGUGCAUUUUCCAGUCCCAGGAAAUGAAUGCAUGACAUCCAUAUUAAUUUGCGUGCAUGCGAGCGUUCAUUUUUUAAAAUUUAACCUGACUAAAAAUCUGGCAAAAACAGUUUAAAAGGACUUUAAAAUAGUAAAAAAAAAAAAACAGUUCUCAGUAGAAUGACUAGCAGGAAUGCAAUUAAAACUCAGUGGCUGGAAAAGAAAACAAAGGUGUUAAUUAAUUCAUUGUGACACCUGUGUCUUGUUUCCAUUUUCGUAAUGCUGUACACUUUUCUGAAACAGCGGGGUAAUUGAGCGAUUGCGUGCAUUGGCAGAAAUCUUACAUUUUUUUGGCUGAUUUUCAGCACUUUCCUAUUAUUGCUACGGUGCACUCUGGAGGCCAUAGCGUGCACUCUUGCAUGCAUGCAUGCGCCGCACUCGCAUGCAUGCAAGCUCAUGGCUGCUUCGUGUCUAUCAUUGGGUGGCAGGGGGAGGGCCUAGGAGCGUUUACUCUAAAUACAGGCAAGACGGAAUGCCUGUGAGGAGCAGGCCUGUGGAAGACACACCACUGUUUCAUCGAUGCAUGGUGCUCUGCCUUGACAAUAAGGAGAUGCCCUCGAUUGAGUCUUUGGCACUCUGUCGUUGCCAAGACUGCUAGCGGUGCGUGAACAGAUGAGUGAACAGUUUGGAGAGCAAAGCAGGGAAUGGCCAGGAUCCACUCAUAACUGAACUGCAAAGAAAUGCUAAGUACCCAAGACAAAGAAAUAUGGUACCACGCUUGUAAAUCUGCUAACCAAGCCAGACACCAGCCAAAACCCUGACAUGCUACUUCCGAAGACUGCUAUAAAUAAGUGAUGCUGCCCUCUAGUGGAUGGAGGAACACUCCUCGCAAUGCUGACUUAGAAUGUACUUGGAAGUGGAUUAUAACCAAGAGGGUAGGAAAAAGUUUCAUGCUGGUUCAAUCAGUUAAAAUAUAAAUGUAAAGCUCUAUUUCUAGGGGGAUGGGGUGGAAUGAAGCCCAAUUAAAUAUUGGGGGAUUCAUGCCUCCCCCGUCCUUCGGUUCCUGUGCCCCUAAAUGUAACAGAAGUGUAAUCCUGGGUAAAGGACAUGCUUUAUGUGAGGUUUUAUUCAGAACCUACGAAUGCAAUUAUAUUUGGAAAAAGAACGCAUGACUUGCAGAUGCAUCUGACUUGGAUAAUUCUCUCUGGCGGCGUUGACAGAUAGCGAUCUGUGGCAAUCUGAAUCUCUUUGUGUGACAGGCUUUGUGUCCGGCCCACUUAAAAAGCCAGCAAUAGGGCUUUGAUUCCUUUAAUCAUCUGAAAGUCGAAAGUGGUCAGAAGGGAGGCAGGAGAGUCAGAAAGGAGCCAUCGAGGGGGGCAGUACUGAAAAAAAAGGCCAGGGGGAAGAUUUGCAGACACUUAACCACUUAAGGAAAACGGCAUCACACAGGGAAACUGUUAAUAGUAACGCUUCAUAUUAACUGCACUUUCAUGAUGCACUCAUAUAAGAUUCAGCGCACUUUCAUAAUGCAUUCAUGAGCAUUCAUAGAACGUUCAUAAGCAGUAUGGAAGUAUACCUUAACAUUAUCACAGGUGGAAAGUUCCCGUCCAGAAAUUUAAAAUCCAGAAUUUGUUUCAACUAACCAGUUGAGUACUCUGUAACUGCACCAUAUACUUAAGUGGUUGGUUUAAACAAAAUCUUGAUCUGGUUUUUCAGUUUCUGGACCUGAAUGGUCUACUUCUGUACAUUAUGAAGAUGCACUGAAUGUUGUACAAAUGCAUUAUUAAGGCAUUAUGAAGGUGCACUGAAUGUUCUAGGAAUGCAUUAUUAAGGCAUUAUGAAGGUGCACUGAAUGUUCUAGGAAUACAUUAUUAAGGCAUUAUGAAGGUGCACUGAAUGUUCUACAAAUGUAUUAUUAAGGCAUUAUGAAGGUGCACUGAAUGUUCUAGGAAUGCAUUAUUAAGGCAUUACGAAGGUGCACUGAAUGUUCUAGGAAUGCAUUAUUAAGGCAUUAUGAAGGUAGACUUUAUGUUCUGGGAAUGCAUUAUUAAGGCAUUAUGAAGGUGAGGUUAAUGUAAAAUGCUACCCUGUUUUCAUUAACAUUACACCGUUCAGCACCAGGCACUGACAGCUAAAUGAAUUUCGUUUGAUUGCCCGCUUGCUUGUUUGUUUUUGUCAGUUUGUUUUUAUUUGGCAGAGAGUUCUAUUAGCAAUUUAUGUGCUGUGCUACUACCCUCAAAUUGGAACAUGAAACAGAACUGCUAAAAGCAACUAGAAGGAGUACCGG
Molecule: long non-coding RNA, 5603 nt
Organism: Brienomyrus brachyistius
Lineage: Eukaryota; Metazoa; Chordata; Actinopteri; Osteoglossiformes; Mormyridae
Exons: 2
Source: RefSeq, a predicted model, not a curated record